CUCUCAUGCUAUCUCUUUCUUCGCAGCGACACCAUAAAACGGGCGGCUGCUUCCUGACAGUUUUUUACUAGCCCCAUUUUGGCUACCAAAGGCCAAUUUGUAGAGAAACGGACAUACGGACAUCGUUAGUUUGCCCCAAAAACCACACACAUAUGUGGAUUUCUCUUUAUAAACUGAAAUGUACACAUAUACAUACAUACAUACAUACAUACGUAUGUAUACAUACCCCUUACAGUAAUCAUGAAAUUUCUUUCCCACAAUGACUAUGGUUGAUGAGAUGACGCCAAUUGUCGUCGACGCUGAGGAGA
This is a long non-coding RNA of Drosophila miranda, 308 nucleotides long. RefSeq lists it as uncharacterized. The transcript has 2 exons. Lineage: Eukaryota; Metazoa; Arthropoda; Insecta; Diptera; Drosophilidae. The record is from RefSeq and is a predicted model, not a curated record.